CACCGCGGUUAAACGAGAGGCCCUAGUUGAUAGUACACGGCGUAAAGAGUGGUUAAGGUUAAGUAAAAAUAAAGCCAAAUAGCCCUUCGGCCGUUAUACGCUUCUAGGUGCCCGAGACCCUAUUAAACGAAAGUAGCUUUAAUCAAAUAUACCCGACCCCACGAAAGCUAAGAAA
This 175-nucleotide ribosomal RNA is filed under the name Oreichthys crenuchoides. RNAcentral's name for it is "partial 12S rRNA". Lineage: Eukaryota; Metazoa; Chordata; Actinopteri; Cypriniformes; Cyprinidae. The record is from RNAcentral.